This 440-nucleotide ribosomal RNA is filed under the name uncultured bacterium. RNAcentral's name for it is "partial 16S ribosomal RNA". It matches the Rfam family "Bacterial small subunit ribosomal RNA", at positions 338 to 795 of the family's 1533-position model. The record is from RNAcentral.
CCUACGGGAGGCAGCAGUGGGGAAUAUUGCACAAUGGGGGAAACCCUGAUGCAGCGACGCCGCGUGAGUGAAGAAGUAUUUCGGUACGUAAAGCUCUAUCAGCAGGGAAGAAAAUGACGGUACCUGACUAAGAAGCCCCGGCUAACUACGUGCCAGCAGCCGCGGUAAUACGUAGGGGGCAAGCGUUAUCCGGAUUUACUGGGUGUAAAGGGAGCGUAGACGGCAGCGCAAGUCUGGAGUGAAAUCCCAUGGCUUAACCAUGGAACUGCUUUGGAAACUGUGCAGCGAGAGUGCAGGAGAGGUAAGCGGAAUUCCUAGUGUAGCGGUGAAAUGCGUAGAUAUUAGGAGGAACACCAGUGGCGAAGGCGGCUUACUGGACUGUAACUGACGUUGAGGCUCGAAAGCGUGGGGAGCAAACAGGAUUAGAUACCCUAGUAGUC